CCGGAGGGUGCAAGCGUUGUUCGGCAUCCCUUGGCGUAAAGGGCGCGUAGGCGGUUUGAUAAGUCAGAUGUGAAAGCCCACGGCUUAACUGUGGAAGUGCAUUUGAAACUGUCAGACUUGAGUAUCAGAGGGGAAAGUGGAAUUCCCGGUGUAGAGGUGAAAGGCGAAGAUAUCGGGAGGAAUACCGGUGGCGAAGGCGACUAUCUGGCUGAAUACUGACGCUGAGGCGCGAAAGCGUGGGGAGCAAACAG
This 251-nucleotide ribosomal RNA is filed under the name uncultured prokaryote. RNAcentral describes it as "partial 16S rRNA". It matches the Rfam family "Bacterial small subunit ribosomal RNA", at positions 525 to 775 of the family's 1533-position model. The record is from RNAcentral.